This 406-nucleotide ribosomal RNA is filed under the name uncultured bacterium. RNAcentral's name for it is "partial 16S ribosomal RNA". It matches the Rfam family "Bacterial small subunit ribosomal RNA", at positions 30 to 526 of the family's 1533-position model. The record is from RNAcentral.
AUUGAACGCUGGCGGCAGGCCUAACACAUGCAAGUCGAACGAGUGGCGGACGGGUGAGUAAUGUCUGGGAAACUGCCUGAUGGAGGGGGAUAACUACUGGAAACGGUAGCUAAUACCGCAUACCAUCAGAUUUGCCCAGAUGGGAUUAGCUUGUUGGUGGGGUAACGGCUCACCAAGGCGACGAUCCCUCGCUGGUCUGAGAGGAUGACCAGCCCCACUGGGACUGAGACACGGUCCAGGCUCCGACGUGCGGGAGCAGUGGGGAAUAUUGCACAAUGGGCGCAAGCCUGAUGCAGCCAUGCCGCGUGUAUGAAGAAGGCCUUCGGGUUGUAAAGUACUUUCAGCGGGGGGGCGUUACCCGCAGAAGGAGCACCGGCUAACUCCGGGCCAGCAGCCGCGGUAAUUC